ACGAAACAUAAAUGCAACAACACAGUAGCAAUGGGUGGAUAAGAUUAAGUUACUGUCGUACUAGUAGCCAGUUCAGCGGAACAUCAUCCUGUACGGACAAAACGGCAUCCGUAGCUAGCAGACAAAGGGAUAGCAGGCUACAUCCAUCCUCAACAUUGCCGAUCCGAACAGGGGCUGCUGCCGUCGCGGGGAGCUUGAAACCGUCUGUUGGUGAUCUUUUUUUUCAGUCGCUGUUCCAGGGUUUUAUCCACGCUCCCCCUGUUAUAGAAUGGUGGGGGCUUCUUAAAGGGAUAUAUACCUUUUUUGGUUUAUUUGCCAAACUAAAUGAUGAUAGACUGGUCAGUGUUCUUCAUUCCUGGGCUUGGAGACCCACAUGGAUGUGUGCAGGGUUUUGAUCAAGCACAGCACUAACAUGCCUAUUUUAACAGUACCCUACUGUGCCCACAUGUAGCUGUAUGCUCUGUAAGGUAUGUUCCGGCCAGGAAUGGUAUAUAACAGCUCUGUGUGUUCUGUUUAGAUAUAGUUCUAUGGCUGUGUUUACACAGUAAGCCAAAUUCUGAUAAUUUUGCCACUAAUUGGUCUUUUGACCUAUCACAUCAGAUCUUUUCACAUCAGAUCUUUUUCAGAGCUGAUCUGUUUGGUGAAAGGACCAAUUUAGUGAAGAAAAAAAGAUCAGAAUUGGGGUGCCUGUCUAACACAGCCUAUGUGUCUUGUGGGGGAAUUAUUAAUAAAAUGUGUACAUGUAUACCAAGUAUGAAGUUGAGGGAUCUGUG
RNAcentral lists this long non-coding RNA (773 nucleotides) under Salmo salar (Atlantic salmon). RNAcentral describes it as "lncRNA (ENSSSAG00000092227.1)". Lineage: Eukaryota; Metazoa; Chordata; Actinopteri; Salmoniformes; Salmonidae. The record is from RNAcentral.